This 225-nucleotide ribosomal RNA is filed under the name Klebsiella pneumoniae. RNAcentral describes it as "partial 23S ribosomal RNA". It matches the Rfam family "Bacterial large subunit ribosomal RNA", at positions 2718 to 2925 of the family's 2925-position model. Lineage: Bacteria; Pseudomonadati; Pseudomonadota; Gammaproteobacteria; Enterobacterales; Enterobacteriaceae. The record is from RNAcentral.
GGGUUGUGAUGCGAAUGGCACUGCGCGGUAGCUAAAUGCGGAAGAGAUAAGUGCUGAAAGCAUCUAAGCACGAAACUUGCCCCGAGAUGAGUUCUCCCUGAGACUAUAAGUCUCCUGAAGGAACGUUAAAGACGAUGACGUUGAUAGGCCGGGUGUGUAAGCGCAGCGAUGCGUUGAGCUAACCGGUACUAAUGAACCGUGAGGCUUAACCUUACAACGCCGAAG